AUACGGAGGACGCGAGCGUUAUCCGGAUUCAUUGGGUUUAAAGGGUGCGCAGGCGGCCGUGCAAGUCAGCGGUGAAAGCCCGGGGCUCAACCCCGGAAGUGCCGUUGAUACUGCGUGGCUGGAAUGCGGUCGAGGCGGGCGGAACGUGGCGUGUAGCGGUGAAAUGCGUAGAUAUGCCACAGAACGCCGUUAGCGGGGGCAGCUCGCCAGGCCUGCAUUGACGCUCGGGCACGAACGCGUGGGGAUCGAACAGGAUUAGAUCCCCUGGUAGUCCACGCCGUAAACGAUGGGCGCUCGGCGUCGGCGACAGACAGUCGGCGGCCAAGCGAAAGCGAUAAGCGCCCCACCUGGGGAGUACGGUCGCAAGGCUGAAACUCAAAUGAAUUGACGGG
This 392-nucleotide ribosomal RNA is filed under the name uncultured bacterium. RNAcentral's name for it is "partial 16S ribosomal RNA". It matches the Rfam family "Bacterial small subunit ribosomal RNA", at positions 523 to 917 of the family's 1533-position model. The record is from RNAcentral.